This is a long non-coding RNA of Dendroctonus ponderosae (mountain pine beetle), 1942 nucleotides long. RefSeq lists it as uncharacterized. NCBI's taxonomy places the organism in Eukaryota, Metazoa, Arthropoda, Insecta, Coleoptera, Curculionidae. The transcript is spliced from 2 exons. The record is from RefSeq and is a predicted model, not a curated record.
GGAAUGACGCCAAUUUUGAAUCACCCUGUAUAGACUAUGAACCAAUGUUGCUCCCAUCGAUAAACGCAUUUGUGAAAAAUUAAGCUCUGGUCUGAUUAGCUUGAAAAAUGUUCAGCGUGUCUAGUUUGGGGUCUUUUAGAAACGGACCGAAAGGCAAGUUUGUACCUGUCUUACGUUGGGAGUGAGGAAUUGUUGAAAGUUAGGUGACCGAAGGUGUGAGAGGUGAGGUAAGAUAAAAGUGAGUGAGGCUUUGGUCAAGUUUUAUUGAGAUUCUAGGCAUUUGUGAGAAGUCAAGCUCUUGUAUGGUUGGCUUGAAAAAUGUCCAGCUUGUCCAGUUUGGUGUCUUUCAAAACAGCACCGAAAGGCAAGUUUCUACCUGCUUUGAGGUAGAAGUGAGAAUUUUUUGAAGGUGAGAUGGCUUUGAUCAAUGCUAGCAAAUUCAGGCAUUCGUCAAAAAAGAAGUUCUGAUCGGAUUGACUUAAAACAUUUUCAGAUUGACUAGUUUAGUGUCUGUUAGAAGUGGACCGAAAGGCAAGUUUGUACCUGCCUUAAGUUGGGAGUGAGAAAUUUUUGAGUGUGGUAAGUUCGUGGCUUUGGUCAAUUUUUAUUGAGAUUUUAGGCAUUCGUAAAAAAAUAAGAUCGGGUCUGAUUGACGUGAAAAUAUUUUGGUUUGUCCAGUUUAGUGUCUUUUACAACAGAACUGAAGGGCAAGUUUGUACCUGCCUUAAGUUGAGAGUGUGGAAUUGUUGAAAGUGAGAUGACUUUGUGCUUUGGUCAAUUUUUGUUGCAAUUUUAGGCAUUCGUCAAUAAAGAAGUUCUGGUCGGAUUGACUUGAAAAAUUUUCGGCUUGUCUGGUUUUGUGCCUUUUAGGGCUAAAUCUACAAUUGCGGUAUAUACCAGGAACAAGCUCUUCUUGGCAUAUAUUUGUAAAAUUGGGAUCUACAAUAGUCGAAUAACGUUCAACUCGGUAUAAAUGGCGGUAUAACUUAUACCAGUGAAAUGAGCCGGAUAUACUGCAGAUAAAGUUGUUCCUUCGUUCUAUUGGUCAAUGAGUGACAGCGUCUUAUUUCUUGGUCUGGUUUCAUAACCUACAAUUUCUCAAUUCUCACUUUAAGACUUUUAUGCUAAUCUGGAAAUUUUGUAGGAGUAAGCAAAACAUCUGUCUGUUCAAUUGUGAGACAAGUUUCAGAGGCUAUUGCUCGGUUGCGUCUGAGGAAUAUAAGAUUUCCCGGAAAUAUUGCCACCAGACAAAAAGCGAAAUUUUUUUUUAUAGAGUUGCCAGAUUUCCACUGGUCAUUGGUGCGAUUGACUGCACGCAUGUGAAAAUCCAGUCUCCUGGAGGAGAAGACGCUGAGCGGUUCCGUAAUAGGAAAGGAUGUAUUUCAUGGAAUGUUCAGACAAUUUGCGAUGCGCAAUUGAAAAUAAUUGACAAGGUGGCCGGGUUCACGCCAUGACCAAACUAUUUUCAAUAACUGCAGAAUCAAGAACAUAUUUUCCAAUGGUGAAAUCCCAAAUUGUGUUAUUUUGGGUGACAGUGGCUAUGGAAACACUAACUAUUUACUUACACCACUGUCAGAUCCUUUCACAGCUCCUGAAAAACUAUAUAAUGAAUCACACAUAAGAACCAGAAACUGUGUUGAAAGAUCUUACGUGGCGUGGAAAAGGAGAUUUUCCAUAUUGUCCUUAGGAAUGCGAGUAAACGCCGAGUUAUCAAAGAUAAUUAUUGUUGCUACAGCCGUUCUGCAUAACAUUUGCGUUGAAGAAAAGGAUGGAGAUCCACCAAUUGAAUUGGAUUUCGAAAAUGUUGGCGCAGAUGAGUUACCGUCAUCGAUAACCGAAUUCAAAUAUUUCUAUCAAUAAUAGAAUGAAGUCAAAAAUUAUAAAUAAUCAUUUUGCACAUUUACUGUUGGAAUAAUUGGAUAAUAAAGAACAACGUGAAUUA